This 289-nucleotide transfer RNA is filed under the name Rhizobium aethiopicum. Its description in RNAcentral is "tRNA-Leu". The stretch from base 26 to 219 matches the Rfam family "Group I catalytic intron". From Rfam's summary of the family: Group I catalytic introns are large self-splicing ribozymes. Lineage: Bacteria; Pseudomonadati; Pseudomonadota; Alphaproteobacteria; Hyphomicrobiales; Rhizobiaceae. The record is from RNAcentral.
GCGGACGUGGUGGAAUCGGUAGACACAAGGGACUUAAAACAAAAUUGAGUGCACUGGCGGAAACGCCUGAUGUAGAACUGCUCAAAGUCGGGGAAACCUGUCAGAUGGCAAUCCCGAGCCAAGCCCUGCAAGGGGAAGGUGUAGAGACUAGACGGGCAGCACCUAAGGCAGACGCUAGGGUGAAGGUAUAGUCCAGACCACAAACGCCGGAAGGCGGCGGCGAAAGCCGUAGCGGUAAGAAAAUCCCUCGGCCUAGGCUAUGCGGGUUCGACCCCCGCCGUCCGCACCA